AUUUGUUAACCUUUGACCAAAAUUUUACAAAAUUGUCGAUUGUGGUAGGUGUGAAAAUAUGUUGAUCUUUUUGUGCAAAGGCAUAAAUUCUACAGUAAAAAAAAACACAGAAAAAAAUAAAAAUUGAUUUUUAAUGAGUCUGACAUAACAACAGAGUAGGUGUGUUUGCAUAACAAUGUUUACUGACAGAACUAGACGACAG
RNAcentral lists this long non-coding RNA (202 nucleotides) under Mytilus galloprovincialis (Mediterranean mussel). Lineage: Eukaryota; Metazoa; Mollusca; Bivalvia; Mytilida; Mytilidae. The record is from RNAcentral.